UAAGUAAAAGUAAAAAUGUAUAAAACACAUCUCAGUUAUUAUUUAUUUGGCUAAAUUACAGAAAACUCCCCUAUAAUAACCCACUUUUUCACUUUUUCUGACAUUUAAAAAUCUACACUUUGUCCCCUUGUAAAAUAAAAAAUAUUCACAGGGGAGUUACGGUGUGUAAAAUGAUCAUUUUGCCCCUCGUCAUUGUUGUCUUCUUCCUGAGCUUCCUCAGCCGCCCCUUCGAUCCGCCGCUAUUUCCACCUUAAUCGGCCACGAUUCCUCUCCAAUUUCUUCUCCACCUGCUCCCCUUCUCCUCCUACACCGUCGCCGCCCAUCGAUUUCGGCGACAGUAGGGAGGAUACUAAGAUGGGUGUUGAUGGAGAGGUAGGCAGGGACAACGAGGGCGAAGGCGAGGCGGCGGAGGAGGACGAAGGGGAUGUGGGCGAGGGCGAAGCAGUGGAGGACGGCGAGGCGG
RNAcentral lists this long non-coding RNA (463 nucleotides) under Ananas comosus (pineapple). RNAcentral's name for it is "long non-coding RNA (ACOM_LNC036337)". Lineage: Eukaryota; Viridiplantae; Streptophyta; Magnoliopsida; Poales; Bromeliaceae. The record is from RNAcentral.